RNAcentral lists this long non-coding RNA (2855 nucleotides) under Mus musculus (house mouse). RNAcentral describes it as "long non-coding RNA chrX:143659014-143661869". The record is from RNAcentral. Lineage: Eukaryota; Metazoa; Chordata; Mammalia; Rodentia; Muridae.
UCUUUUUUUUUUUUUUUUUCAUUGAUUCUUUGUCCCCUAGAUGUUCUCUCGCUCUCUCCUUUCCCCUCUCCUCCCUCUUCUCUGUCUCUCUCCUCUUCCUCCUUCUCUCCCUGCUCUCUCCCAGGGGAGCAUGCAAGCAAGCACACCACAAAUCACUCACAAUCAACAACAACAAAACCCAAGUUUUCUGAAUUCAAUUCACUGUGCAGUUUGACUUGCAUUCUCCAAAUUUAGUGAUUGGGAGUGUGAGGGAAAGAACUGUGUAAUUCUCUUGGGAGAACCGUCAAAGAGCAUUGGCUCAAUUAAAUAAUGUGGUUUGAUAUGUAUGACCAUAGAGGAGGCAGAGGUAAUUAACACCAAGUUAGAAGAGAGAAACUUCCUACUUAUUAAUUCACUGCAAGCCACCUGGAUUUAAUCAUCUUCUACUUUUCCUUCACUGACUCCCUCAUGAAAUGAAGGAGGGCAGAGGCAGUGGCCAUUUGAAUCAUCGCAGGUUCUGCAAGGUAGGCCUCUAGUGUGGUCUAAUUAUGAACAAAGGUUAGGACAGGCCCUCUGUUCCCACAUGCACAGUUAGGAAUCCUGUGUAUGUUUGGCCUCAUCACAUUGAUGAAGGAGGUGUGUGUUUCCUUAGUCCAUCAAGUUUGCUUUUGUGUUAUUAGCCAUUAACAUCCAUACAAUUCAGGGAUAGGUGAGGUGAGUUUUACAGAGCAGAAAGUUAAUACCUUGGGGAAUUGGACUUUUGUUCAAGGCUUUGUCCAGUUUCAGGGUCCUGUGUCACAACUCUAGUUUCAAGAAGAUAGUGAGUUCUUACCCAUAUGAUGCUCUCUGCCCCCACAGUCUAGUUUUUUCAGAGACACUUUGGUGACAUAUCUGAACUCCCUAUAUUUAUUUCAUAUGCAAUCCACAAAACUGCUUGCUUCAGGAGAGCUUUAGAUGCUAAUAUACUGGGUCAGGGGGACAAGGAGAAAGAGGAUCAGUUACAGUGAGCACAACACACAGUGAUGCCUAGACACUGAGUAAACAUGGACCAGGCAUGUUUCUCCUAUUUCAUGUCUGAACACCAGUUGCUGAGCAAAUUGGGGUAGGAGGGCAGUUUAUAGAAGUGCACCAUGGGGGUUGAAGAUUAAGAGCACCUAGGAACUUUCAGAGGACCUGGGUUUGAUUCCCAGCACCCAAGUGACAGCUUACAACUGUCUGAAACUCCAGUUCUAGGGGACAUGAAGCCUUCUUCUGGCCACCAUGGGCACUAGGCAUGCAAGUGGUACACAGACAUGCUGACAAAACACUCAUACAGCUAAAAACAAAAAAUAAUAAGAUUUUUAAGUGAACCUGUUCCAGAAAAUAACGUGAACACAGAGAGCUAGCUACAAGCUCUCAGCAUCAGCUACUAGGAACAGUUUCUGGCUAUGUGAUUUAAGGUAAAGAAAGCCAAGGCAGGCUGGUCAUUUCUGCCCUGUAGACUACAUAUUAUUAUUUUCCUGCAUCCAGUCUAUGUUCAGGAAUGUCUAAGUUCACCAUAUCUUUGCCCUACUUGAACCACUGGCCUGGCAUUCAGAUAGCUUUCAAGAUAGUUAAGGUGCUGGUUGGUUUUGUUUUAAGCACUCUCCUGAAUUAUAUUUUUGAUUCUAAUUCUGAUUUUUACAAGCAAAAUAGAGUAUAUAGUUAUUAUUUAAAUUCUUGCAAACAAAGCUAGCCAUGUUAACACAGGCUUGUCAUCCCAGUACUGGGAAAGUGGAAGCAGAGAAUAAGGAGCUCAAAGUCCUCUUCAGCUACAUGGUGAGUUCGGAGCUACCCUUAGCUUUUGAGUGUCUGUCUUAAUGAAAAUGAAAAUAAAGGGCAUUCAAACUGCACAGAUGCUUGUUUUCCUUUGUAUACAGUAACAUCAAUAAAACCAUUGGAACUUGCAAUUUUUAACGAACCAUUUUAACUUAACUCAGUAUACCGAAAAGAAUGGAUUACUUCUCAUUGGGAUUGUGUUACUAACUUGGGGGUGGGAGGAGCCUCUGGCCAGCUGCUGCUGCCUACCAUUCUAAGAGAGCAUCUUAAUCCAUAAAUGCGAAGUAAAGCUUAUAUGGAAUGCACGUCAUUUUUGCAUCAUGGUAAAGUAAAACGAAACAAAACAAAACAAAAAAACAGAUGCACCAUUGUAAGUUUGACAUUGUCUAUAUAAAGAAAACACACAUACUUGUAGGUCAUAAUUUACAGCAUUUAUUCUCAUGAGCACUCUUUCAGUGGUUUGCUGAUUUUUGCGGUCUGUAAUUUCAGUAUAAGCACACAUACACACACAAUUUUUAACAAAUAUAAAAUUAUAGCGUACAUUAUUGUCUUGCAAUUGCUUUUUACACCUAAAAAUGUGUCAAGGUGUGCUCUUAUUUUAGCAUAUGGGACUCCACAUGAUUGUUUUUAUCUGAGGGAUAUUUAGGCUAUCAUUUGUAUGAUAUUCACACUCUUACAUUAGAUUAAACAAUGAAUAUUCUUGAGCAUAUAUCUUGGUAUGCUGUCAUGAAGAUAUCUAUAAACAUCUUCCUCGACUUAGGAUUGCUAGAUAAAAUGAUAUAUACAUUUUUUAAUUUGAUAAAAUCUUACUCACUUCUUAGUCCCAUUAAUGGUAUGCUAUAUGAGAGUGUGCAAUAUUUCCUUAGUUUACGAUUUGACUGGAAUGAAGACACUAACUUUAAUUUACUUAUAUUAUAAAAGUCCCACUUUGGAUAUCUCUCUUCUCUUCUAAAUUAUAGACUUGUAAGUCAUAGAUGUGGUUUGGGUGCUAGGAACUAACACAGAAACACAAACUCAAAAGGGAAAUUUUGAAUGACAUUAGUCUUUGCUGAUGGCACAUCUCAUUUGGUACCACAAGG